ACGCUCGACACCUACGGGAGGCAGUAGUGGGGAAUAUUGCACAAUGGGGGAAACCCUGAUGCAGCGACGCCGCGUGAGCGAAGAAGUAUUUCGGUAUGUAAAGCUCUAUCAGCAGGGAAGAAACUGACGGUACCUGACUAAGAAGCACCGGCUAAAUACGUGCUAGCAGCCGCGGUAAUCUGAGCGGGCUGGCAAGGC
This 198-nucleotide ribosomal RNA is filed under the name uncultured bacterium. Its description in RNAcentral is "partial 16S ribosomal RNA". It matches the Rfam family "Bacterial small subunit ribosomal RNA", at positions 328 to 539 of the family's 1533-position model. The record is from RNAcentral.